CAGCACGUGAACUGGAUUAUAUGUGAAUUUGCCUGUGCCUAAGUUACUUAUAUCCGGAUGAUUUACUUAUAUCUGAGCUGUGAUACAGACUCGGUGGAAUAUGUGGCGACAAACAAUGUGGCUGUGUUACAAGUUCCUUAAUUAAUUCUGAGAACUGCAAAAAUCGACUAUGUUUUUCUUGUAUUCGGGACAAAGAACAUUCUAUCCGAGAUGUUAACCUUCAAGAUAACAAAAUGAAGUAUUGCGAUGUUCGUGUGAAAUGUGGUAAUGUUCAAAACAGUCGCCAAAACGCCUAAACGGGUACAAUUCCAGUAUAUCUAACUUAGAAACAAGAUUAUCUCAAAUUCCUUGAUUCUAAAGAACCCUUGUCAUCAAUCCCUGGCCAUUUCUGCGUUUCGUGUCAUCACGAAAACACAACAGUAUUGUAAAAAAUUGAACGUGUCUGUGUUCAAAACAAUGAUGCCUACUGCCCGGCAGCCAUGUUGAUUAUGGCUAACAAUGACCACGAGCCAUUAGCACACAAACACAAGAAAUAAAAUAAACAGACUUAUUGACGUUGUACUACAAUACUGUCUUUGUUCUUACAUGUAUAAACAUGUAAUAGUCAACUACCAAGAUCCCAGCUUCAGAAACAGGUACAGACCAUAUAAAAGACUUGAAAAGAAAAGCAACAACCUGAAUCUUAAACUUAAUUAUCCUGCAAGAUCGAUAUUACUAUAUUAAUGCUUAGUAUACAGAAUGCUUUUUUUAGAAACUAAAUUAUUCUUUUCCAAUC
Molecule: long non-coding RNA, 775 nt
Organism: Patella vulgata (common limpet)
Lineage: Eukaryota; Metazoa; Mollusca; Gastropoda; Patellidae
Exons: 3
Source: RefSeq, a predicted model, not a curated record